RNAcentral lists this long non-coding RNA (286 nucleotides) under Lathyrus oleraceus (garden pea). Its description in RNAcentral is "Pisum sativum (pea) long non-coding RNA (PSAT_LNC023996)". Lineage: Eukaryota; Viridiplantae; Streptophyta; Magnoliopsida; Fabales; Fabaceae. The record is from RNAcentral.
GAUCAGUGACAUUUGUUCCUUUGUGAUUUUUUUUGUCAGAAUAAUCAUCAAUUACAUAUACAUAUACAUUCAUACAUCAGAUAUUUUCAUUAUACAUUGUUAUCGCAUUUUGAUUCCUUAUUUUUCUGAUUCUCUGCUAUGGUGACAUUAUUCCUCCCCAUGCAGAUUUGGUGUGUCUGUCCUCCUUUAAUUAUAGAGUGUCAGCCCCUUAAGCAAAAAGAAUUUAACCUUUCUUAUUCCCCACUGAGUUAUUUCCUCGUGGAUGGUUAUUAUUUCAGCUUCCUCC